CAAAACACUAUUCACUCCAGCCAGUUUAGCAGUUCGAAAUAGUUGGAGCUCUUCUGAAUGUCCGUUUGAGCUCAAAUUUGACAGGCAGGCUCAGUUUAACAUACUGAGUAAGAAGCUAAUCAGUUUCGACCCUAUUUGGUCACCGAAAACUGUACCGAACUGUAAUCUUUUUCAGAUAGCUGUCGGAUUUUAUUUCUCGCUCUACGGGUGUCAGAAAAAUAUGAAACUUUAAAUCUAGCAUCAUAAAAAUAUUUCUGACUUAUCCUCCAAUUUUCAUAAUUUUCUGAGACUGCAUUUUCUGCUAAUUUAUCUGUUCUGUUUCCAACAGAAAAUUCUAGAUCUUCUGUUUUCAUUCCGAUUUCAGCACAAGUCACUUCUGACUUAUGUUUUACUUCUAUAAAUUCAAUAAAAAUAGUUUCUCACACUAUUUUUAUUUAUUUUUAUUUUUAUACCAAAAUCUGGUAUGUUACAUUGAAGGUAAGCAACUUGUUCUUUCUCCAAGAUUUUAUGAUUUGAAGGUUUUUAGUAGAUGGAACCCUAGAAUGGGAAUUUAGGGUUGUUUUUGGGGCUUUUUGAUUUAGGGCUUUUGAGGCUAAAUUUUUUGG
This 605-nucleotide long non-coding RNA is filed under the name Ananas comosus (pineapple). RNAcentral describes it as "long non-coding RNA (ACOM_LNC038978)". The record is from RNAcentral. Lineage: Eukaryota; Viridiplantae; Streptophyta; Magnoliopsida; Poales; Bromeliaceae.